This 309-nucleotide long non-coding RNA is filed under the name Capsella rubella. RNAcentral's name for it is "long non-coding RNA (CRUB_LNC003671)". Lineage: Eukaryota; Viridiplantae; Streptophyta; Magnoliopsida; Brassicales; Brassicaceae. The record is from RNAcentral.
AAUGAAACUUGAAUGAGUGGUUUUAUAAAAGACGGCUCGUGCCGGUCAACUACAUUUGUAACGACUCUUGCUGUAAUAAUAAAAUGAGCCUUAAUCAAAGUGGCUAUUGUAAUUUGUAAGUGUUAGUUAUUACUGUUUUUUUUUUUUUGUUCUCUAUGGGAAUGAAUAAACAAUCAAGUGGACUUUGGAACAAAAUGAAAUUAGUUUAUAUUUAUGGUUACAUCGAACUAAAAGUGUUGAAACACUAUUAUACUAUAGGUGUGAUUACGUGAAGAAAACAUUUGGCUAAGUAAAAUAACUCUAAACGAU